CUCCAGAAGGAUCCGAGCCCAACGUGGCCGUCACAGUUCCCAAGAUUCUUAGGCAGAGGCUCCUAGAAUUGCCCAAGUACGUAAGUGACUGAGUCAGCUACAGUCCCUCGGAGGUGGCCCAUGUGUCAGUGCUGUGGAGGUGGCUCCCAUCAGGGUGGGCCAGCUGCUUCCUGGCCGGCAGCGUUCCAAGGUGGGAAGCAGAAAGGCUGAGACCCUGUGGAGGAGGCGAGCAGGUGGGGGAGAGGAGGAGGCAUGAGCCUGCCGAGCUGCCCCCAGGUCAGCCCUGGCCUGCUGUGCUCUGGUCUCCACAUUAGGUCCCCUCAGCCUGGCCCUGUGCCCUCCAGCCCCCCAGUCGGCUCUGUGGGCAUAAUAAUCAAGCCUGCUUAUCUAACCUGCUCUGACUUGCGGGGUCAAAUUUUCUUGUCAUAGACUGUGCUCCCCUGCACAAUGGAGACCCACCUACAAUGACAGGGAAAGGUCCAUUCUCAGGUUCAGUCUGGGUUUCUGUCCCUCAUCUGCCAAGCUUUGAUUUCCUCCCCUCUCCAGCCACUGAAUCCGGUGCCCACAUGCAGGAGCGGCUGCCCGUGUGCCCAGAAACUGCCCAGCAGCUCUGCCUCCUGGGAGCACAGCUGGCCUGCUGGGGAGGCAUGGAGGGAGCCCCUCCGCCUUCAGGGAGACACAGAGGCUCCACCACCUUUGGGAAAGCAGUAGAAUAACACCAGCAUCUGCAAGGCAUCCUGGGUAGAGUUGAGGCUGGGGGAUGGUGCCAGUCAGGAAGGCUUCCAGGAAGAGGUGACAGCAGGGAUCAAGGUUGUGGAAAGAAGUAGCCAUGAGAGAUUGUUCUCCUGGACACUAAGGUGCUGGUGGACAGUUGUCCCCUACUGCCUGCCUUCUCAAACUGGGGAAAGCCCCCAACUGCUGCCUGAGAGAGCCAGUGGUGGAUUCCUGCCAGCCUCUCUGGCUGCGCAACCAGGGGACUGGAGUGUCAAGGUCAAACCUCCUAGAGGGUGAGAGCCUGGCACCUUCCCUCAGAGAAACAGCCAGGAGGGGUGAUAGGGUAUUUAACCAGCUGAGGCUGGUGCUGCCUAAUCAGAUGAAUGACCUGAGGGAUGGGUCAGGAAGGCUUUGCGUGGAGCAGGGCACGUGUGCGUCUCCUGUGGACAGCAGGUGCCCCCAGGUCUGGGUGCGCUGAGGCCAAGGGAACGCUCACCAAGAAGGAGGAGCGCACACAGGGGAGGGGCUGCAGAGCCUAGGUCUUCCAGCUGGCCACACCUUUACCGAGAGCCCACUCCAUCCCAGGAGGACUCACACCGAGCUGGUGGAGAAAGCCCACGCAGAAGUCGUCUCAGUGCCGCCCCACCACGUGUCUUGACAGAGGCUCAAAGGGCCGUGGGAGAAGGAGGGCAGAGGACACUCAUUUCUUUACACCCCGCGAGCAGGCCCUUACCAUUUUCCACUAGGAUUAGCGUCUGUCUCUGUCUUUGGUCCUCUGAUCCCUCCCUGGCGCCAUCUGUAGGCGGCUGCAAGACCCAGCGCAAUGCAUUGAGCAAGUGUUAUUCCCCAGGGGAAUGUGAAGGUGAGACCUGGUCCCCAUCCUCAGGAGACAGUAGUAGGUAGUCGCAGAGGGAAGACAGACAGACAGACAACACUGCUCAUGGCACUCCUGCAGCCUGGUUGAUGGAGUCCCCUCUGCCUCUGACACACGCCUGCUGGAUGUCCUCACACAAGCUGCGGAACUGCAGGAGCAUCCAGUUCCUCUAAUUUGCCGCACAGGGUCAUUUUGAGGUAUAAAUGAGCUGGCGUUCACAGAGCACUUGGCAGGUGCCGAGUUGCUUUUCCUUGUUGAUGUUAGAAUGUGGCUGCUUUUAUGUGACCCCAGACUUCCCACUGAAGGGCAGAGGACCCUGACACUGCUUUGUUCUUUUUGAGUACCUGAUACUACAUUAAAAACUAAAGAGUCAAGUGUGAUGGUGCACACCUGUAAAUCCAGCUACUUGGGAGCCUGAGGCAGGAGAAUUGCAAGUUUCAGGCCAAACUGGGCAACUUAUUGAGACCCUGUCUCAAAAUGAAAAAUUAAAAGGGCUGCGGCCUCAGCACUGCAAAAUAAUGAGUGAACAAAUAAACAGCCCAACUCCAGACAAGAUGAGCAAGACCCAAGCCCCUGCCCUUGCAGAGGUUAGAAGACAGUAAGGGACACGAAGAGAAAGAACCAUUCACUGUGAAACUGCUGUGGUCUGCAUCUUUGUGUCCCCUAGAAGUCAUGUGUUGAAACUCAGUCCCCAGUGUGAUGGCGCAGAAGGUGGUGAUUUUGGAAGGUGAGGGGGUCCUGAGAGUGGAGCCCUCAUGAAUGAGAUUGUGGUCUUAUGCAAAGGGUCCCUGAGAGCUCUCCAUGGAGGGACACGGCUAGAAGGUGCCAUCUAUGAGCAGAAAGUGGACCUUCCCCAGACUCUAAGUCUGCCUUCCUCUUGGCCUUCCUAGCCCCCAGUGCUGUGAGAAGAAAGUUCUGUUGCUGUGAGUCACCUGCUUUAUGGUAUUAUUCCAGCAGCCUCAGUGGACUAAGAGCUGUGUGUGCGGGGAGACAGUCCCUUUGGGGUUCCCUGCAGGGCUGGGCUCUGGCACCAGCACAGGGGUCUGUGAAGAGACCAAGGGACAACUCCUUUCUUUCAAGAGUGUUGAGCCUGGUUUUGUUGAGAUGGGAAUGCCAGUGGGGUGACUGUGAGAAAGUUGGGGGUCAGACACUGUCACCGUGAUUUUUCAUCUGCGUGCACCACAGUCUUGGCCUUGUGGGGCAGGUGCCGAGGGACUGCUGGAGGAGUGGCAGGUCCUGCUCACAGUUUUGAGUAGCCCGACCUGCGAGGGGCUUCUGGGCAUUGGGUUCAGGGCAGCAUCUCCCUGGGUUGUAGAGUUCAACAAGGUAAGACCUUCCGGAAAAUGCCAGAAGCCCGUUUUGCCAGAGCUACUACCCUGUGCAUGGGUGUGCAUGUAUGUGUAUGCAGUAUGGACACGUGAGUGCCCCUCGACCCCCACCAGGGCCCUUAUCCUGGGCAUUCAGUAGGCGCUGACAAUUAAUGGCGCCCAAUGCAAUGAGUGACACCUUGUAAAACAAUCUCAAUUACCAGAUAACCAAAUUCCGCGCAGUUGCAGGAAGGAUAAGAGCAAAACACGGGGGCUGUGAGCAAAUGAUAGCCCAGAGCUGCCCGGGGCAGCGGGGGAGCCACAGCCGCUCCUUUCCUCCCAGCUCAGAACAGAGCCUGGCGGGGCCGGGCUGCUCUGCUGAGGGAAGCCAGUCCUUUCCCACGGAGAAGCAGCCGGGGAGGAAGAGCAGAGAUAAGCGGGUCCCUCAAGUGAGGCAGAGCGCAGCGGAAUAUGUGCCCUGGCCCUGCGGGGGGCUGCAGGAGCUGGGAGGAGACUUCAGGCCCUACCCGGGAAGGAACCCCACUGCCUGCUGGGCUGGUGGGGUGACAGCCACCUGUAAAGGCCGCCUGCCCAUACACAGUGAGAGCCCUUGUCCUCACUGUGGACACUGGGGUUCGCCAAGCCCUUCUCUGAGCAGCCUCCGGGGCUCUGAUGCAGCAGCGCCUGCUCCCCAAAAACCCUUGUCAUUUCCAGCACUUUCCCUUUCACUGGAAGGGGGGAGGGGAGUGGUUUUUAUGGGUCUCAUUUUCAAUUUAAAUCAAC
RNAcentral lists this long non-coding RNA (3678 nucleotides) under Marmota monax (woodchuck). Lineage: Eukaryota; Metazoa; Chordata; Mammalia; Rodentia; Sciuridae. The record is from RNAcentral.